This 278-nucleotide ribosomal RNA is filed under the name uncultured archaeon. RNAcentral's name for it is "partial 16S rRNA". It matches the Rfam family "Archaeal small subunit ribosomal RNA", at positions 1047 to 1325 of the family's 1478-position model. The record is from RNAcentral.
GAGACCCACGCCAACAGUUGCCAGCUCGUCCUCCGGGAUGGUGGGGACACUGUUGGGACCGCCUCUGCUAAAGAGGAGGAAGGAAUGGGCAACGGUAGGUCAGCAUGCCCCGAAUUAUCCGGGCUACACGCGGGCUACAAUGGGUGGGACAAUGGGUAUCGACACCGAAAGGUGAAGGCAAUCUCCUAACCCAUCCUUAGUUCGGAUUGUGGGCUGCAACUCGCCCACAUGAAGCUGGAAUCUGUAGUAAUCGUGUCUCAACAUGGCACGGUGAGUAU